CCUACGGGAGGCAGCAGUGGGGAAUUUUGGACAAUGGGGGCAACCCUGAUCCAGCCAUUCCGCGUGAGUGAAGAAGGCCUUCGGGUUGUAAAGCUCUUUCGCAAGGGAAGAAAACUUAUGAUCGAAUAAAUCAUGAGGUUGACGGUACCUUGAUAAGAAGCACCGGCUAACUACGUGCCAGCAGCCGCGGUAAUACGUAGGGUGCGAGCGUUAAUCGGAAUUACUGGGCGUAAAGCGUGCGCAGGCGGUUUUGUAAGUCGGAUGUGAAAUCCCCGGGCUCAACCUGGGAACUGCGUUAGAAACUGCAAGGCUAGAGUGUGUCAGAGGGGGGUAGAAUUCCACGUGUAGCAGUGAAAUGCGUAGAGAUGUGGAGGAAUACCAAUGGCGAAGGCAGCCCCCUGGGAUAACACUGACGCUCAUGCACGAAAGCGUGGGGAGCAAACAGGAUUAGAUACCCUGGUAGUCCACGCCCUAAACGAUGUCAACUAGUUGUGGUAGAGUAAAUNUAUGAGUAACGUAGCUAACGCGUGAAGUUGACCGCCGUGGGGUAGGUACGGUCGCGAAGAAGUUAAACGUUACGAAAGUAAGUUAGUUAGGCGNGAGAGNGCGAGACGACGACGAGGGAGGAGG
RNAcentral lists this ribosomal RNA (630 nucleotides) under uncultured bacterium. RNAcentral describes it as "bacterial SSU rRNA". The stretch from base 1 to 542 matches the Rfam family "Bacterial small subunit ribosomal RNA", at positions 338 to 873 of the family's 1533-position model. The record is from RNAcentral.